This 75-nucleotide transfer RNA is filed under the name Halobacillus sp. BAB-2008. Its description in RNAcentral is "tRNA-Gln". The stretch from base 1 to 55 matches the Rfam family "tRNA", at positions 19 to 71 of the family's 71-position model. Rfam says of the family: Transfer RNA (tRNA) molecules are approximately 80 nucleotides in length. Their secondary structure includes four short double-helical elements and three loops (D, anti-codon, and T loops). The record is from RNAcentral. Lineage: Bacteria; Bacillati; Bacillota; Bacilli; Caryophanales; Bacillaceae.
UUAGAAUGCCUGCCUGUCACGCAGGAGGUCGCGGGUUCGAGUCCCGUCCGGACCGCCAUUGUCGUUGGGCCAUAG